GCAAGUCGAACGAGAACGGGUUAUAGUUACUAUAACUGUCAGCUAAGUGGCGCACGGGUGAGUAAUAUAUAGUUAAUCUGCCCCAAAGAAGAGAAUAAUUGUUGGAAACGACUUGUAAUGCUCUAUAUGCCUUUAUUACAUAAGUAAGCAAGGGAAACAUUUAUGGCUUUGGGAUGAGACUGUACGGUAUCAGAUAGUUGGUGAGGUAAUGGCUCACCAAGUCAAUGACGCCUAACUGGUUUGAGAGGAUGAUC
Molecule: ribosomal RNA, 254 nt
Filed under: uncultured bacterium
Lineage: Bacteria
Description: partial 16S ribosomal RNA
Rfam family: Bacterial small subunit ribosomal RNA
Source: RNAcentral